GGUUGUAACUGAUAGACUGGGUUGGGCACUGCUGAUGAAACUCACAUUCCUGAGAGAAAAAUCAUCCAAAUGUCUUCCCCAGCUUUCUAGAAGUCACUAUGAGGGGCCCCGACUAACUGAGGAGACUCAUACAGAAACCCCUGUCCCCAUCACAGCUACCUCAUUACCGUGUUCCUCCAAGAUGGUCACCUCUGAGGAGGAUUAUCAGAGAAGAAAGGAAACCAAAGGCCCAUCAACAACAAAUUGAAAAUUGAAGUUGAAAGGCAAAUCUAAAGAUUUGGAAAACCUCCCAACUACAUUCUCCUGUGAUCACCCAGCCUGAGGGGUGUGCCCUUAUGAGGUCAAGGCUUUCAGAGUUAGCAUUUCAGUGGUGAAUACAGAAGAAAAAUCAGUGCAGAUCAAGUAACAUGGAAAGAAAAAGAGAGACAGCACUAGAUACAGAAGCAGACAACAGGAAGAGAAAGCUCAAACCUUGGCCAAAACCAC
Molecule: long non-coding RNA, 486 nt
Organism: Callorhinus ursinus (northern fur seal)
Lineage: Eukaryota; Metazoa; Chordata; Mammalia; Carnivora; Otariidae
Source: RefSeq, a predicted model, not a curated record